AGCUCAGUUGGUUUAAGCGCAGGCGUUGGUGUUGUUGCGCUCCUGGGUUCGAUCCACCGUGGGAGGAGUGUCCAGGGCCUUAACCGGUACAGACGCAGGCUGGCUCCGGGCCUAGGGGGAGGGAGUAGGGCCGAAGGCCCGAACCCACCACCUGAAAAAAAAAAAAAAAAAAAAGUUAUCUGCAUCCAAACACCAUAUAUCUAUAUAUAUAAUAGCA
Molecule: long non-coding RNA, 217 nt
Filed under: Brassica napus (rape)
Lineage: Eukaryota; Viridiplantae; Streptophyta; Magnoliopsida; Brassicales; Brassicaceae
Description: long non-coding RNA (BNAP_LNC023766)
Source: RNAcentral